CUCAGAUUGAACGCUGGCGGCAUGCCUUACACAUGCAAGUCGAACGGCAGCACGGGAGCAAUCCUGGUGGCGAGUGGCGAACGGGUGAGUAAUAUAUCGGAACGUGCCCAGUCGUGGGGGAUAACGUAGAGAAAUUUACGCUAAUACCGCAUACGAUCUAAGGAUGAAAGCGGGGGACCGUAAGGCCUCGCGCGAUUGGAGCGGCUGAUAUCAGAUUAGGUUGUUGGUGAGGUAAAAGCUCACCAAGCCGACGAUCUGUAGCUGGUUUGAGAGAACGACCAGCCACACUGGGAAUGAGACACGGCCCAGACUCCUACGGGAGGCAGCAGUGGGGAAUUUUGGACAAUGGGCGAAAG
Molecule: ribosomal RNA, 356 nt
Filed under: uncultured bacterium
Lineage: Bacteria
Description: bacterial SSU rRNA
Rfam family: Bacterial small subunit ribosomal RNA
Source: RNAcentral